RNAcentral lists this long non-coding RNA (587 nucleotides) under Phoenix dactylifera (date palm). Its description in RNAcentral is "long non-coding RNA (PDAC_LNC019792)". The record is from RNAcentral. Lineage: Eukaryota; Viridiplantae; Streptophyta; Magnoliopsida; Arecales; Arecaceae.
AAAUAUGUGCCACCAAAUAUGUAAGCUGAAUAUGUGUUGGAAUCUGCGUAUCUAUUUAAAAAUUUUCAUGCAAUUUUCAUGUAAGCUGAAUAUGUGCUAUAUACGGACAUCCUCAACAAAUCAAACUUGACGAGUCAAUUGUUUGCAUAUAUUUUUUGCUAUCUUGCCUAAUUUAAAACUUCUAGCAUACAAUAUAUAAAGUGAACUCUGGGCGAUCCACCAUCACCUAGAGUUCUAAUCAUCUCGCAUGCAAUCACAUGACAUGAUAUUUUAUAUUCUAUUAUUGAUCAGGAUUUGGGACUCUCUCAAGGAUCUGACAGUCAAUUAAUUCUAUUCUUUUUCUUUGUAAUUUUAUCUGGACUCUCAAAAGUGAUACAAAGAUCCUAAACCGUUUAUAUUUACUCUCAUAUCUUAGAGAGGGAGCAAGAGUGUAAACUCUAAAAUUUCUCAAGAAAGCUAAUAUAUAUAUAUAUAGGGUUUUUUGCAUGAAUACCCUCCUAAAUAUCGAAUUUUGUAUGAAUAUCCUUCCAAAAUUGAUAUUUGUACGUAUACCCUUGUCAAACACUUGCUUUGUCAUUCUACUUUUU